UACGGGAGUGGCAAGCGUUAUCCGGAAUUAUUGGGCGUAAAGCGUCCGCAGGCGGUCUUGUAAGUCUGUUGUUAAAGCGUGGAGCUUAACUCUAUUUCAGCAAUGGAAACUGUAAGACUAGAGUGUGGUAGGGGCAGAGGGAAUUCCCGGUGUAGCGGUGAAACGCGUAGAUAUCGGGAAGAACACCAGUGGCGAAGGCGCUCUGCUGGGCCAUAACUGACGCUCAUGGACGAAAGCCAGGGGAGCGAAAGGGAUUAGAUACCCCUGUAGUCCUGGCCGUAAACGAUGAACACUAGGUGUCGGGGGAAUCGACCCCCUCGGUGUCGUAGCCAACGCGUUAAGUGUUCCGCCUGGGGAGUACGCACGCAAGUGUGAAACUCAAAGGAAUUGACGGGGGCCCGCACAAGCGGUGGAGUAUGUGGUUUAAUUCGAUGCAACGCGAAGAACCUUACCAGGGUUUGACAUCCUGCGAAUCUUUUGAAAACAGAAGAGUGCCUUCGGGAACGCAGUGACAGGUGGUGCAUGGCUGUCGUCAGCUCGUGUCGUGAGAUGUUGGGUUAAGUCCCGCAACGAGCGCAACCCACGUCGUUAGUUGCCAGCAUUUAGUUGGGCACUCUAGCGAGACCGCCGGUGAUAAACCGGAGGAAGGUGUGGAUGACGUCAAGUCAUCAUGCCCCUUACAUCCUGGGCUACACACGUACUACAAUGCUACGGACAAAGGGCAGCAAACUCGCGAGAGCUAGCAAAUCCCAUAAACCGUGGCUCAGUUCAGAUCGUAGGCUACAACUCGCCUACGUGAAGGAGGAAUCGCUAGUAAUCGCAGGUCAGCAUACUGCGGUGAAUACGUUCCCGGGCCU
Molecule: ribosomal RNA, 857 nt
Filed under: uncultured bacterium
Lineage: Bacteria
Description: SSU rRNA
Rfam family: Bacterial small subunit ribosomal RNA
Source: RNAcentral